Mandrillus leucophaeus (drill) is the source of this 1571-nucleotide long non-coding RNA. RefSeq lists it as uncharacterized. The record is from RefSeq and is a predicted model, not a curated record. NCBI's taxonomy places the organism in Eukaryota, Metazoa, Chordata, Mammalia, Primates, Cercopithecidae. The transcript is spliced from 4 exons.
GGACUUAACAGGUCCUCCCAGUCUGUCAGGCCUGGGCAGCCCUGUCCUGUCUUAGGACUCAGAAAGUCCAGUCCUGAGAUGGGACGGUGCUGCCCAGGGUGGGUGGCCAGGGCCUGACAGCAGUCCUCCAGGGAGUGACCACAUCACCCAGCCGGGGUCCAGGGAUCCUGGCCUGAGACCUGCCCAGUGCAUUGAGGGGACACCUGGAGCCCACUCCACCUGAUGCCCCCGUAACCCUCACAGGGUCUGACCUCCCAGAAUGCACCUGUCUCUCCUUGCACCCCAGAUGUCCACCCUGUCUGUUUCCUGGCUUCCUCCAUCCUGUCCAGCAGGAUGGGCUGGACAGUGGGAAGCCUGUGUGCACAUUUUGUGGCAAGUAGGAGUGACAUACCAUCCCUGGGAGGCACCAUGGUUUCUGCCAAACCCAGCCCCAGAACUCUGUCCCUGAGGUGGUUUUACCAAACCCAAAACCCAGAACUGCAGUUGUGGCUCAGGGGUCAGCACCCGCUAGUGCCAGGACACUACUGGGAGACUGGUUCCUGACCAAAGCCCAUGGUGUCUGUGGCCUGAGGACAGGGUGUCUUGGGACCCAGGCCACCAAUGGCCAUUGGGUCAUAGGGUCUCACUCCCAGUGUUUGUCCUUCCCUGGCUCCUUCUAGUUCAGACCCACCAGGGCCCUGGAGCCCAAGACCCAGCACCAAAGGUCCCCUCCAGGAAUCCUGGUGGCUUGGCUUACUUUAUCGUGUUUCAUCUGAGAGCAAAAAUGUCAGAUCAGAUGCACAGAAAAAUGGCUCAAAGUGCUUAAUGACUAGAAGAAAUUUAAGAGCAGCAAGAAGACGCCUCAGCUGCUCUACAGGGGAGUCCACUUUCAGGUGUGCAGCUGGGCAUGGUCACUGCUGCUGGAUGUCUGGACGGCGGAAACAAAGGACCUAGGAAAACACCAGGUACAGCCUUUCCACCCUCAUCCAGAGCAGGACAAACAGGUCAGGUGGGGUCAGGAGCCCAGGUCUCCAGCUGGAGGGAACGUCAACCCUGCAGUGGAAACAGGGGCCCAUCGCGCAUCCUAGGCACAGAUGGUAAUGUAGGCACCGGAGAAGCACUGCUGACUGUCUGGUGGUUACCGUUUGUGGCAGUGAGCCUUUUGUCCAUUCUGAGAUUUGAUUGGUUUCUCCUUUUGGCCCUGCCCUGCCCUAGAGACCAUAAGGAGAACAACAAGAGGCCCCCAGCAAACAUCCACAGAUGGCCCUGGACAUCAGCCAGAUUCUGAGAAACAUGUCAUGUUCUGGGAGGGCUAAGGCACCAAGAAUUCUAGUGACUAUGUUGCCACCAUCUUGGAGCUCCAUGCCCUCAUAGUGUAAUGGCACCAGCAGAUCUGCCUGUGCACGGACUUCUGUACUAGCUCACUCCUGAGGGGUGAUGCUUCUGCAGGGCCUAUGACCUGGUGCACAACUUUAGACACCAUCAUCGUGGAGCAGCACUGCACCCUUACUAGCCAGGGUGUUGAUGACAUCCUCAAGGCCAAGGCCACAUUCAAGACUUUGAACUUCAGUGAUGCACUUGUGCUGGGCAAG